UAAUACAUGCAAGUAGAACGCUGAAGAGAGGAGCUUGCUCUUCUUGGAUGAGUUGCGAACGGGUGAGUAACGCGUAGGUAACCUGCCUUGUAGCGGGGGAUAACUAUUGGAAACGAUAGCUAAUACCGCAUAACAAUGGAUGACACAUGUCAUUUAUUUGAAAGGGGCAAUUGCUCCACUACAAGAUGGACCUGCGUUGUAUUAGCUAGUAGGUGAGGUAACGGCUCACCUAGGCGACGAUACAUAGCCGACCUGAGAGGGUGAUCGGCCACACUGGGACUGAGACACGGCCCAGACUCCUACGGGAGGCAGCAGUAGGGAAUCUUCGGCAAUGGGGGCAACCCUGACCGAGCAACGCCGCGUGAGUGAAGAAGGUUUUCGGAUCGUAAAGCUCUGUUGUAAGUCAAGAACGAGUGUGAGAGUGGAAAGUUCACACUGUGACGGUAGCUUACCAGAAAGGGACGGCUAACUACGUGCCAGCAGCCGCGGUAAUACGUAGGUCCCGAGCGUUGUCCGGAUUUAUUGGGCGUAAAGCGAGCGCAGGCGGUUUGAUAAGUCUGAAGUUAAAGGCUGUGGCUCAACCAUAGUUCGCUUUGGAAACUGUCAAACUUGAGUGCAGAAGGGGAGAGUGGAAUUCCAUGUGUAGCGGUGAAAUGCGUAGAUAUAUGGAGGAACACCGGUGGCGAAAGCGGCUCUCUGGUCUGUAACUGACGCUGAGGCUCGAAAGCGUGGGGAGCGAACAGGAUUAGAUACCCUGGUAGUCCACGCCGUAAACGAUGAGUGCUAGGUGUUGGAUCCUUUCCGGGAUUCAGUGCCGCAGCUAACGCAUUAAGCACUCCGCCUGGGGAGUACGACCGCAAGGUUGAAACUCAAAGGAAUUGACGGGGGCCCGCACAAGCGGUGGAGCAUGUGGUUUAAUUCGAAGCAACGCGAAGAACCUUACCAGGUCUUGACAUCCCGAUGCUAUUUCUAGAGAUAGAAAGUUACUUCGGUACAUCGGUGACAGGUGGUGCAUGGUUGUCGUCAGCUCGUGUCGUGAGAUGUUGGGUUAAGUCCCGCAACGAGCGCAACCCCUAUUGUUAGUUGCCAUCAUUCAGUUGGGCACUCUAGCGAGACUGCCGGUAAUAAACCGGAGGAAGGUGGGGAUGACGUCAAAUCAUCAUGCCCCUUAUGACCUGGGCUACACACGUGCUACAAUGGUUGGUACAACGAGUUGCGAGUCGGUGACGGCAAGCUAAUCUCUUAAAGCCAAUCUCAGUUCGGAUUGUAGGCUGCAACUCGCCUACAUGAAGUCGGAAUCGCUAGUAAUCGCGGAUCAGCACGCCGCGGUGAAUACGUUCCCGGGCCUUGUACACACCGCCCGUCACACCACGAGAGUUUGUAACACCCGAAGUCGGUGAGGUAACCUUUUGGAGCCAGCC
Molecule: ribosomal RNA, 1421 nt
Filed under: Streptococcus sp. ICM4
Lineage: Bacteria; Bacillati; Bacillota; Bacilli; Lactobacillales; Streptococcaceae
Description: bacterial SSU rRNA
Rfam family: Bacterial small subunit ribosomal RNA
Source: RNAcentral